AUUGAACGCUGGCGGCAUGCUUUACACAUGCAAGUCGAACGGUAACAGGCCUUCGGGUGCUGACGAGUGGCGAACGGGUGAGUAAUGCAUCGGAACGUACCCAGAGGUGGGGGAUAACGCAGCGAAAGCUGUGCUAAUACCGCAUGUGAUCUGAGGAUGAAAGCGGGGGACCGAGCAGCAAUGUUUGGCCUCGCGCCUUUGGAGCGGCCGAUGUCGGAUUAGCUAGUUGGUGGGGUAAAGGCCUACCAAGGCGACGAUCCGUAGCUGGUCUGAGAGGACGACCAGCCACACUGGGACUGAGACACGGCCCAGACUCCGACGGGAGGCAGCAGCGGGGAAUUUUGGACAAUGGGCGCAAGCCUGAUCCAGCAAUGCCGCGUGCGGGAAGAAGGCCUUCGGGUUGUAAACCGCUUUUGGCAGGAACGAAACGGUGUCCGCUAAUACCGGGCGCUAAUGACGGUACCGGCAGAAUAAGCACCGGCUAACUACGU
Molecule: ribosomal RNA, 491 nt
Filed under: uncultured bacterium
Lineage: Bacteria
Description: partial 16S ribosomal RNA
Rfam family: Bacterial small subunit ribosomal RNA
Source: RNAcentral